GGGGCGGUAGCUCAGUAGAGAGAGCGCUGCAUUUGCACUGCAGAGGUCGGGGGUUUGAUUCCCUCUCGCUCCACCA
RNAcentral lists this transfer RNA (76 nucleotides) under bacterium. RNAcentral describes it as "tRNA-Ala". It matches the Rfam family "tRNA". From Rfam's summary of the family: Transfer RNA (tRNA) molecules are approximately 80 nucleotides in length. Their secondary structure includes four short double-helical elements and three loops (D, anti-codon, and T loops). The record is from RNAcentral.